AAAAGCUCAAAUUUGUAAUCUCGGCGCCUUCGGCGUCCGAGUUGUAAUCUCGAGAAGUGUUUUCCGUGAUAGACCGCAUACAAGUCUCUUGGAACAGAGCGUCAUAGUGGUGAGAACCCAGUACACGAUGCGGAUGCCUAUUACUUUGUGAUACACUUUACGAAGAGUCGAGUUGUUUGGGAAUGCAGCUCAAAUUGGGUGGUAAAUUCCAUCUAAAGCUAAAUAUUGGCGAGAGACCGAUAGCGAACAAGUACCGUGAGGGAAAGAUGAAAAGCACUUUGGAAAGAGAGUUAACAGUACGUGAAAUUGUUGGAAGGGAAACACAUGCAGUGAUACUUGCUAUUCGGGGCAACUCGAUUGGCAGGCCCGCAUCAGUUUUUCGGGGCGGAAAAUCAUAGAGAGAAGGUAGCAGUCUCGGCUGUGUUAUAGCUCUUUAUUGGAUUCGCCCUGGGGGACUGAGGAACGCAGCGUGCUUUUUGCAUGAGCUUCGGCUUAUCCACGCUUAGGAUGCGGGUUUAUGGCUGUAUAUGACCCGUCUG
RNAcentral lists this ribosomal RNA (539 nucleotides) under Sporobolomyces carnicolor. RNAcentral describes it as "eukaryotic LSU rRNA". It matches the Rfam family "Eukaryotic large subunit ribosomal RNA", at positions 103 to 655 of the family's 3401-position model. The record is from RNAcentral. Lineage: Eukaryota; Fungi; Basidiomycota; Microbotryomycetes; Sporidiobolales; Sporidiobolaceae.